CAGAACGUCACUGGCAGAUCUCGCCUGAGAGUUUUGACGCUUGUAACUCUGCCCUGGAAAGGUGAAUCAACUUUUAUUUUGAUUCAUGUGUUUUUCCAGGUUCCUUUAGCCUAAAUGCAUAAAAGUCAGAGAAAGUCAUCACCAUAAUACUGAUAACAACAAUGACAAAGAUAUACACAUACAGUCAGUGGCUGAACACCCACCAGCAAGAUUGCUGGAAACCAAGCCGCACCACACCUGCCGGAGCAUCCAGGACCAUCUACUCAGUGCAGGCUCAGCAGCCAUGCCUACCUUUGUCCAUCCCAGGGCUAGGCCUGGUCACUUUCAGGACACUGAGACUCUUUCCUGCCGUCUACAUCAAAAAAAGGGACCACCCGCAGCAGAGGCAAAGACUUCAAGAAUGUGCCCUGAUGGACAGUACUUACCUCCCUCUGUCCAGGAGGACAGGAACAGCAGAAACUCUCACUAUCUAACAAGAGGAGAAACAAGGUUGGAUGUCUCCAGAAGUUGUGAAAGUCAGAGAAAUCAUACGAAUAAACAGACACUAAGCUCUGGUGCAGUCUAAGUGAUUUAUGUUCACUGUAUCUUUACAAUAAUCCUGGGGUUUAAGUACUGUUACUCUCCACUUCCAAAGUAGACAAGUAAAUAGCAGACAAGUAAAUGGAGGCUCACCAUGGCUCUAUAACUGUCCCAUGGUCACACAGGCCAAAGCACAGAGGAAAAUGACGGAUGCAUCCCUCCCCUUUUGCUUUAGGAAGGGUGGUCCCCAGGACCUGGUCUGGAAGACAGAAAAAAAAUUAAAAAGAGCUGGACUACUCAGCAUAAUAAAAUGAUGGAGGGUUGCCAAAUUGGCCCUAGCACUUGAAGAAAGAGG
RNAcentral lists this long non-coding RNA (874 nucleotides) under Homo sapiens (human). RNAcentral describes it as "HSALNT0336068". The record is from RNAcentral. Lineage: Eukaryota; Metazoa; Chordata; Mammalia; Primates; Hominidae.